UACGUAGGGUGCGAGCGUUAAUCGGAAUUACUGGGCGUAAAGCGUGCGCAGGCGGUUUUGUAAGCCAGAUGUGAAAUCCCCGGGCUUAACCUGGGAAUUGCAUCUGAUACUGCUCGGCUUGAGUACGGUAGAGGAGGGUGGAAUUCCCAGUGUAGCGGUGAAAUGCGUAGAUAUUGGGAGGAACACCGGUGGCGAAGGCGGCCCUCUGGACCGAAACUGACACUGAAGCGCGAAAGCUAGGGGAGCAAACGGG
This 253-nucleotide ribosomal RNA is filed under the name uncultured bacterium. Its description in RNAcentral is "partial 16S ribosomal RNA". It matches the Rfam family "Bacterial small subunit ribosomal RNA", at positions 524 to 776 of the family's 1533-position model. The record is from RNAcentral.